GGCAAAUGCACUGCCCUAUUAUUGUAGUAGCGCAUGUCAAAUAUAGAUGUCCUUAGAGUUAGAUCCAUCGAUGUAUGUAUCAAUAAAGCAUAGAAGUUUCUAUACCUCCGUCAUGGCAGGACGGUUAAUUUUAUCACCUUUCGUUAUUAAUUAAACACAACGUAGGAAGAAAGAUUUAUCCCUUGCGCGAUCAUAAUGGGGCCGUGACCGUCCUUUUUAGAACAUCAAGUGGUUACAAAACGCAAUCAUCGAUGGAUUCAAUUCGCACAUCUUCUGCAAGUGAUCAUCAUCAUCAACGAUGGGCAUCUACACUCCCGUGCAAAAGAUUGGGUUCACCCCCUCAAAAACAUACAAAAUACCUACCUAUUCAUACGGCAUAGCACCGAUCAUCGCAUCAAGCUGGCUAUUCAAUACAGCAGCAAUGGGCUCAGUGUUCAGGAUAUCCACAUCACUUCCAGCUACGAUGGUGCGGCCACGACGGUAGCCAUCUGGCAAAGCAUGCGGCGUUCCUGACUCCUCGAGGACUUGGACAGUCUUAGCCAGGAACCAUGCUUCUAUUCAAUGGCGAGUGUUAUUGUCGGAUCUUGUAUCGUUAAAAUGUGUUUUACAAUGUCAUGUACUUCGUUAUCGUUAAUUUGAUUUGCUAAUAAAAAACGGGGGGCGGUAUGUUUGGGCAAAUGCACUGCCCUAUUAUUGUAGUAGCGCAUGUCAAAUGUAGAUGUCCUUAGAGUUAGAUCCAUCGAUGUAUGUAUCAAUAAAGCAUAGAAGUUUCUAUAUAUCCGCCAUGACAGGACGGUUAAUUUUA
This is a long non-coding RNA of Aedes aegypti (yellow fever mosquito), 805 nucleotides long. RefSeq lists it as uncharacterized. The record is from RefSeq and is a predicted model, not a curated record. The transcript is spliced from 2 exons. Lineage: Eukaryota; Metazoa; Arthropoda; Insecta; Diptera; Culicidae.